RNAcentral lists this ribosomal RNA (1721 nucleotides) under Escherichia coli. RNAcentral's name for it is "partial 23S ribosomal RNA". It matches the Rfam family "Bacterial large subunit ribosomal RNA", at positions 1 to 1765 of the family's 2925-position model. The record is from RNAcentral. Lineage: Bacteria; Pseudomonadati; Pseudomonadota; Gammaproteobacteria; Enterobacterales; Enterobacteriaceae.
GGUUAAGCGACUAAGCGUACACGGUGGAUGCCCUGGCAGUCAGAGGCGAUGAAGGACGUGCUAAUCUGCGAUAAGCGUCGGUAAGGUGAUAUGAACCGUUAUAACCGGCGAUUUCCGAAUGGGGAAACCCAGUGUGUUUCGACACACUAUCAUUAACUGAAUCCAUAGGUUAAUGAGGCGAACCGGGGGAACUGAAACAUCUAAGUACCCCGAGGAAAAGAAAUCAACCGAGAUUCCCCCAGUAGCGGCGAGCGAACGGGGAGCAGCCCAGAGCCUGAAUCAGUGUGUGUGUUAGUGGAAGCGUCUGGAAAGGCGCGCGAUACAGGGUGACAGCCCCGUACACAAAAAUGCACAUGCUGUGAGCUCGAUGAGUAGGGCGGGACACGUGGUAUCCUGUCUGAAUAUGGGGGGACCAUCCUCCAAGGCUAAAUACUCCUGACUGACCGAUAGUGAACCAGUACCGUGAGGGAAAGGCGAAAAGAACCCCGGCGAGGGGAGUGAAAAAGAACCUGAAACCGUGUACGUACAAGCAGUGGGAGCACGCUUAGGCGUGUGACUGCGUACCUUUUGUAUAAUGGGUCAGCGACUUAUAUUCUGUAGCAAGGUUAACCGAAUAGGGGAGCCGAAGGGAAACCGAGUCUUAACUGGGCGUUAAGUUGCAGGGUAUAGACCCGAAACCCGGUGAUCUAGCCAUGGGCAGGUUGAAGGUUGGGUAACACUAACUGGAGGACCGAACCGACUAAUGUUGAAAAAUUAGCGGAUGACUUGUGGCUGGGGGUGAAAGGCCAAUCAAACCGGGAGAUAGCUGGUUCUCCCCGAAAGCUAUUUAGGUAGCGCCUCGUGAAUUCAUCUCCGGGGGUAGAGCACUGUUUCGGCAAGGGGGUCAUCCCGACUUACCAACCCGAUGCAAACUGCGAAUACCGGAGAAUGUUAUCACGGGAGACACACGGCGGGUGCUAACGUCCGUCGUGAAGAGGGAAACAACCCAGACCGCCAGCUAAGGUCCCAAAGUCAUGGUUAAGUGGGAAACGAUGUGGGAAGGCCCAGACAGCCAGGAUGUUGGCUUAGAAGCAGCCAUCAUUUAAAGAAAGCGUAAUAGCUCACUGGUCGAGUCGGCCUGCGCGGAAGAUGUAACGGGGCUAAACCAUGCACCGAAGCUGCGGCAGCGACACUAUGUGUUGUUGGGUAGGGGAGCGUUCUGUAAGCCUGUGAAGGUGUGCUGUGAGGCAUGCUGGAGGUAUCAGAAGUGCGAAUGCUGACAUAAGUAACGAUAAAGCGGGUGAAAAGCCCGCUCGCCGGAAGACCAAGGGUUCCUGUCCAACGUUAAUCGGGGCAGGGUGAGUCGACCCCUAAGGCGAGGCCGAAAGGCGUAGUCGAUGGGAAACAGGUUAAUAUUCCUGUACUUGGUGUUACUGCGAAGGGGGGACGGAGAAGGCUAUGUUGGCCGGGCGACGGUUGUCCCGGUUUAAGCGUGUAGGCUGGUUUUCCAGGCAAAUCCGGAAAAUCAAGGCUGAGGCGUGAUGACGAGGCACUACGGUGCUGAAGCAACAAAUGCCCUGCUUCCAGGAAAAGCCUCUAAGCAUCAGGUAACAUCAAAUCGUACCCCAAACCGACACAGGUGGUCAGGUAGAGAAUACCAAGGCGCUUGAGAGAACUCGGGUGAAGGAACUAGGCAAAAUGGUGCCGUAACUUCGGGAGAAGGCACGCUGAUAUGUAGGUGA